GGAGCAGCGGUAGUAGUAGUAGUAGUUGGCUCACAUCCGCGGUCCGGACGCGCACGAUGCGAUCGAAACACAUCAAAGUCGGGCGCGCUAUCACCCCGCGGUAGAAAAAAAAAAACCAAUCGAAAUAACUACACUGCAAAUCCGACAUCUACGGGACAACUGCAUAAUAAUUAUAAUUAUAUUAUUAAAUAUAUUUUCGUUAGCCCAAGACGGCUUGNCCGGUUUUAAAUAAUAUCAUAAUAUUGUGACAGUUAAAAAAACCGUCGCGAGUUUUACCGCCACCGCCGCCGAGAUAUGCGCCUGGUGCGGAUGACGUCGGACCACAGCAAGAAGAGGCGCCGCGGCCCGUCUUCGGCGGACCAGCACGGCGCGGCCACAGCCUCGUCAUCGUCGUCGUCGUCCUCGCCACCGUCCGAAGACCUGUGGUGGACCGAGGCCGCCGUCAACGAGGUAACCGCCGAGCACCCGGGCGAGCUGGUCCGCACCGGGUGCCCGUACAUGCUGUGCAGUGCCCUGCCUACGCACUGGCGGUCAAAUAAGACGCUGCCCGGUGCAUUCAAGGUGGUCAUACUGUCCGAGGUACCGGAUGGCACAGCCGUCACGCUCAAGGCCGGCAACGACGAGAACUGUUCGGCCGAGCUGCGCAACUGUUCCGCCCUGGUCAAGAACCAAAUUGCCAAGUUCAACGAUUUGAGGUUCGUCGGACGCAGCGGACGAGGGAAAAGUUUUACGAUCACAAUUACCGUUUCGACGUGUCCACCUCAAGUAGCGACGUAUAAUAAAGCAAUCAAAGUUACCGUAGAUGGACCUCGAGAACCACGAUCCAAAUCUCUGCACCAAGGUCCACCUCAUCAGUUUCGUGGAUUGGGCCUCGGCCAGAGGCCCUUUAUGGAAAAUGCAUCGUUUUCUAAUCAUUUACGGGAGUUGGAUACAUAUCGCCGAGUGAAGACCGAAGAAUCACCCAUCCUCGAGCAGUCGUAUCGGUCAACGAAUAACCAAGACGAACAUUCCGACUUACCCGUCGGCGUGCCCGAGUCAAGUAACUGGUGCAGUGGUUAUUCGACGUCGGCGUAUUCACCAAAUGCAGCGGCGCCACUCGGAGGAGCUGCAUACGCCUCGUAUCCCGANACCACCGGACCGGCCGCGGCCAUGACGAUGGACGCUCCCUCGGCCAUGUACGGAAGCGGCCAUCCGGAAGUACAGCAAAACAACCACAUGGCAGACUUUUGCGGUACACACCAACAACAUCAACACCACCACCAUCAUCAACAACAACAGCACCAGCAACACGAGCACCAACAGCAACAUCAACAGGAGCUCUUAAAACCAGCGCUCCAUCAGCAGAAUUUGGAUACAGGCGUUGGCAGUGGCUAUUACCCGUCGUCUUGGCCGACCGUGGAACCCCACCAUCACCAUCAUCCGUCGUCGUACCAUCAUCACCAUCACCACCCAGCAGCGGUCACGUACCAGUACAACACGGCAGUGGUACCACCGCCACCGCCGCCGCCUCCACCGCACCACCCGGUACAGAUGACCGCCGAACCACCGCCCGUGCCACCGCCCACCACUAUGGUGCUAUACCCGCACCUAUACUCGACGGUGAAUCAGAAUCAGAUACACCUGCAUCUGCACGCACCGUCGUCUGCGGCCGAACAUCAACUGCAGCAAUUGCACAUAAACAACAACAACAACAACAACAACAACAGCAUCAAGGACCCGUCCGCUGUCGAACACCACCAGUACGUCGUGGACGACGUGGCCGCGUUGGCCGCGGUCGCAGUUGCAGGCAAUCCUGCCGCGCAGUUAGCUAUCAGCGCGGCCGGCAGCGGUGGAGCGAACGCGCGUGGCAUCGAAAUCGGACUGUUACCGCCACCUCCCGCCGUAUCGCUCGACGAACACCAUCAGGCGAGUGACAUCAUAUCCAUCGGCGGCCGGUACAGCGACCGACAGCAGCAGCAGCAACAGCAUACCGACUUGGCCGUCUGGAGGCCCUACUGAUCGGCUGCUUCGCCACUUAUUAAUCAUCAUCAUUUUUUGAUUACUAUUUCAGAGGACUACCAUGCGACGGUAACACUGGUCGCCACUUAAACCGUAUAAAGCGCAACACUCGGCACAAAUCUGUAGCGCCGUAGGGCCUUUUAUGAAUUAUUAUUNUAUCAUAUUAUUGAUUGUUUUUUCAUAUUGUUUUACAGUGAUGGCGUUAAAACUAUUAUUAUUAUUUCAUUUUUAAUUUAUUUUCGUCAUUCUAUAUGAUACUUACAACUGACAACGGUAUAGUGGUUAGAGGGCGGGUAACCCGAGCAGAGUAGCAUUUUAUUUUGUUAACGUGAUUUGCGAUGAGACUAUUGUCUCAUGGUCUAUAGUUGUCAUAUCGAUUCGAUAAGAAUAAAAAAAAAUAGUGUCGGGGAGAAUGAUUUACUUAUUUAGAGUUAUUACUAUUUUAAAGUGAUGGUGACCGUAUAGCUUUGCGGUAUAAACAAUGAAAACUGUCACAACAAUCCCGGGCUCAUAGGAAAACUUAUUCUUAUAGCUGGUAGAUACUUACAUUAUUANCUUUGACCGUUGUUUUAACAUAUUUCUCAAUCUUUCGUCUAUUAGGUAUAUGAAUAUUAUAUUAUAUUAGCGCCAAAAAUUCAAAAUAAAAUGAUUGUGAAAUUAAUAUCAUAAGAUUNAACUCAGAUUAAUUCCUAACCGAGGUAUAAUGAGAAGAUCUUCCACUGCNGAGCGUCGUACCUAAAAAACGGUUCAAGAACGAUUACAAACCAAUACACCAUUAGCCGAUAAUAAUAUUAUCAUCGUAUUAAGUAUUAUUAGGUCGAACGCUGAAAUGGUUUCGAAAUUCGUCGUUCGCCUUUCUCAUUCGUCCAUCGACGUGCGUUUAACUACUAUUCCUCAACGCACGCAUUCCGGCGUAUCUCAUCGUUUUNUUUUCCUUAUAUGUAUAUUAUCAUUAUAUUGUAAACCUACUAUUAAUAUUAUAAUAUUAUUUACGUUUUGUACACACACGUGUCCUGCGAGUGUAAAUAAUAUUAACUUAGAAAAUCAAAAUUAUCA
This 3054-nucleotide unclassified non-coding RNA is filed under the name Diuraphis noxia (Russian wheat aphid). RNAcentral's name for it is "protein lozenge-like, transcript variant X3". The record is from RNAcentral. Lineage: Eukaryota; Metazoa; Arthropoda; Insecta; Hemiptera; Aphididae.